GGGGCUGGGGCUCAGUGGUAGAGUGCUUGCCUAGCACAUGUGAGGCAUUGAGGGCGAUCCUCAGCACCACAUUAAAAAAUUAAUUCAAUAAAGGUAUUGUGUCCAUCUACAGCUAAAAAAAAAUUUAUUUUUAAAUGCGGAGGGGUCUGGGGUGUAAGUCAGCGAUAGAGCAGCACCCUGGGUUCAAUCCCCAGCACCCCCU
Molecule: transfer RNA, 202 nt
Filed under: Marmota monax (woodchuck)
Lineage: Eukaryota; Metazoa; Chordata; Mammalia; Rodentia; Sciuridae
Description: tRNA.Ala
Source: RNAcentral